RNAcentral lists this ribosomal RNA (465 nucleotides) under Vreelandella stevensii. RNAcentral's name for it is "partial 16S ribosomal RNA". It matches the Rfam family "Bacterial small subunit ribosomal RNA", at positions 338 to 795 of the family's 1533-position model. The record is from RNAcentral. Lineage: Bacteria; Pseudomonadati; Pseudomonadota; Gammaproteobacteria; Oceanospirillales; Halomonadaceae.
CCUACGGGUGGCUGCAGUGGGGAAUAUUGGACAAUGGGGGCAACCCUGAUCCAGCCAUGCCGCGUGUGUGAAGAAGGCCCUCGGGUUGUAAAGCACUUUCAGUGAGGAAGAACGCCUGGUGGUUAAUACCCAUCAGGAAAGACAUCACUCACAGAAGAAGCACCGGCUAACUCCGUGCCAGCAGCCGCGGUAAUACGGAGGGUGCGAGCGUUAAUCGGAAUUACUGGGCGUAAAGCGCGCGUAGGUGGCUUGAUAAGCCGGUUGUGAAAGCCCCGGGCUCAACCUGGGAACGGCAUCCGGGAGUGUGAAGCUAUAGGGGAGGAGAGGAGGGUAGUGAGCGGGGAGAAGAGGGGAAGUGCGGAGAGACCGGGAGGAGUAGCAGUGGGAGAGGCGGCAGUAUGGAGUGGCAGUGACACUUGGGUGCGUGGGUGUGGGUCGCACCCAGGGGGAGAUAGCCCUGUGGUA